UCAUGUGAAAUCCAUAGGUUAAGGUCUAAUGAAAUAAUUUCAAUUGAUUUCCUUAUAUGAACUGUAACUCAGUGAAAUCUUUGAAAUGGUUGCAUUUAUAUUUUUGUUCAGUAUAGUUAGACCAAGAGGAAUCUUACCAUGGGCUCUUGUAGUGACCGUAUUACUGCCACACCACUCUGCAACCGCAGUAAAAUUCCAUGUAACUGAGUCACGGGAAUCUCCUCUUAUGCACUCUGGACAUGCGUUGGUAGUACCCAACUCCCUAACAAUCAUCAGGUCGCUAAUGGCUUGGUACUCAGGACUCUCUUGUCCUUCUAAAGGUGUCCACAUGCUCCCCAACCGAAACAAUUUGGUUAUGAUGACAUUUUGUGACAUGUUACUAAAUUUUGGAGUUUGGUUAGGGUUUUUGUCCGCUGUUCGGGCACUAGUCAUUUUUUCUUCGUGAUCGGUCAACUGCAGGGGUGACGUGAGUUUUUGCUUCUUGUCGAUUCAGCCUAAUACUCAGUGUGGAUUCAACAUGGCGAACGACAACUUUGAGCAUCGAUUGACUGAGACGUUACAAAAGUACCUUUACCAGUACGAUUCUAGCCAUGCAUUAUACAAAGAGCAGAAUGUAAAUGCCAAUUCAUGGAGGGAGAUUGCAGAGAAGCUGGGGUCUGACCCAAGCACUUGUGAAAAGGCGGGGUAGGGUCUGCAACAAGUUCUUCAAAGAAACAAGGGCCGCAGUGGAGUUGCGGUUGGAAAGGCUAAUCCAGAAAUGUUGCUGCUGGCAUGGGAAGCAUGUAAGACUGAAAGCUACGUGCCUUCUUCACGAAGGGAUGGGACACAUACACCAGUGAAUGGAGACAGCACCUGGUUUUGUUCUCUGCGCCCCUGUACUGCCUGUUCACCAGCCCCAAGCACUACCUCUGCAGCCAGCCUAUCUUCCGCACUGAGUUGCAGUGCAGAAUUACAAACGAUCUCAAUGCAGGACCUGGGAAGCUCUAUCUUGGGCCCACCUCCAAGACCUACUCCACUGGCUUGCUCCUCAGUGACGCGAAAGAGCAGUAGCAGGGAUUUGGGGAGAAGGGAGACCUACUCCACUGGCUUGCUCCUCAGCGAUGCUACAGAGCAGCAGUGGUAGUAGCAGGGGUGUGAGAAGGGACAAAGGAGCUGCAGACUCGGUCCUAGACACAUCACUAUUAAAGGCAUUGCAAAUGUUUGAAGAUCUCAAGAUCUGGAGAACGUCAUGCGCCAAGCCCACCAGCUUGUCCCAGAGGGUCCUGGCAGCUACAGCUGAUUUCAUGGAUGAACUCUUGACCAAUCUCCGGGAGGAAUUUGAUCACCAGCUGCACGAGUUCGUGCAUGAUUUCAAGAAGAUGACAUGGACCGAACGACUGGGACCACAGUGAAAUUAACUUGUUCUAUUGUUUAGACAUCUCAGGAGUCACACUAGACACUUUCAUUUUAUUCCAUAGUUACGUUUAUUUACAUUUCUGUUCCUAACACACUGUUUUACUAUUGUUCAGAAAUAUUUAACUACACUCUGACACUUACAUUUUAUUCCAUAGAUACUUAUUUACAUGUCUGUUCUUAGCAGACACGUUGUUUACUUUCAGAAGCAAGAAUAAAGGUUUAUUUGUGUGCUGAAAAAGCUCUGUUGCCAUUUCCUCAUCUCAAUACAAUGUGUUUCAAUGCAUUCUAUUUCAACAUCAGGGGCUGACAAUGUACAGAAGAGCCGUGUGCCACAUAAUUUACAGGCUUUCUUCUACUUGUGGUGUAGCCCAAUCUAAUCUAAAUUACUGCACACUGAGAUGUCCCAGAAUCCGGUUUCAUUUUAUUAACCAGUUUACAAUUCUACUGGUUCACAGUGCGGACAAAAAACUGAGACUGCAUACAAGAAUCCUCCUCCUUGCAGCCAUGAUGCAGAAUGCAUUCUGACUCUCCGACAAUGAGUGGUGGUAGGUCCAGGUACGCCCAGGUUUAUUGAGAUGGACACCUGUGAAGAAGCGGUAACAGGAGAAUGUCAUACAUACAUACAGUACCAGUCAAAAGUUGUACAUUGUAGAAAAAUAGUGAAGAAAUGAAAACGAUGGAAUCAUGUAG
Oncorhynchus tshawytscha (Chinook salmon) is the source of this 2085-nucleotide long non-coding RNA. RefSeq lists it as uncharacterized. The transcript is spliced from 3 exons. Lineage: Eukaryota; Metazoa; Chordata; Actinopteri; Salmoniformes; Salmonidae. The record is from RefSeq and is a predicted model, not a curated record.